AUUGAACGCUGGCGGAAUGCUUUACACAUGCAAGUCGAACGGCAGCACGGACUUCGGUCUGGUGGCGAGUGGCGAACGGGUGAGUAAUACAUCGGAACGUGCCCAGUCGUGGGGGAUAACGUAGCGAAAGCUACGCUAAUACCGCAUACGAUCUAAGGAUGAAAGCGGGGGGUCGCAAGACCUCGCGCGAUUGGAGCGGCCGAUGGCAGAUUAGGUAGUUGGUAGGGUAAAGGCCUACCAAGCCGACGAUCUGUAGCUGGUCUGAGAGGACGACCAGCCACACUGGGACGGAGACACGGCCCAGACGCCUACGGGAGGCAGCAGUAGGGAAUUUUGGACAAUGGACGCAAGUCUGAUCCAGCCAUUCCGCGUGCAGGAUGAAGGCCCUCGGGUUGUAAACUGCUUUUGUACAGAACGAAAAGGCUCUGGUUAAUACCUGGAGCUCAUGACGGUACUGUAAGAAUAAGCACCGGCUAACUACGUGCCAGCAGCCGCCGUAA
This 500-nucleotide ribosomal RNA is filed under the name uncultured bacterium. RNAcentral describes it as "partial 16S ribosomal RNA". It matches the Rfam family "Bacterial small subunit ribosomal RNA", at positions 30 to 523 of the family's 1533-position model. The record is from RNAcentral.